This 224-nucleotide signal recognition particle RNA is filed under the name bovine gut metagenome. RNAcentral describes it as "Bacterial large signal recognition particle RNA". It matches the Rfam family "Bacterial large signal recognition particle RNA", at positions 8 to 226 of the family's 256-position model. From Rfam's summary of the family: The signal recognition particle (SRP) is a universally conserved ribonucleoprotein involved in the co-translational targeting of proteins to membranes. The record is from RNAcentral.
AGCUGGGGUGUUAGCGGUACCCUGCACCGGCAAUCCGCUAUAGCCGGGGUGAUUUUUCCGAUUGAGGGUGUGUGGAGGGAGGAGCCUGCCCUUUGAAAGCGGUGUUGAUGUUUGGGUCUCACGCAAUGGGGGCUUGUGAACCGUGUCAGGUCAGGAAUGAAGCAGCACUAAGCAAGUUUUCCAUGUGCCGUGAGGGUGCCUGGGCUGAGCUGGCUACUUAGGUA